This 268-nucleotide long non-coding RNA is filed under the name Fukomys damarensis (Damara mole-rat). RNAcentral describes it as "lncRNA (ENSFDAG00000024010.1)". Lineage: Eukaryota; Metazoa; Chordata; Mammalia; Rodentia; Bathyergidae. The record is from RNAcentral.
GAAUUCCAUUGUACUUAUAUCAUCUAAUGGAUGGAGGAGUUGUUGGAUUAUCCCCACCAAUUUUCAUCUCCUGGCCUUGCAAAAAAAGCUGGCGGUGACAACAACAAAAUAAACCCUAAGCCUGAUUUGUCUGCUGAAGGAUACAGAGGCAACAUGUGCUCCUGGAUUUCUAAACUGCGGGUAGCAACUCCCAGCCACACUGCUCACAGGACUGGCAGGCAUUUGGUCUGGUUCGUUGGUUGUUUAUUUCAUCAUAUCAAACAGGGAG